This 402-nucleotide ribosomal RNA is filed under the name uncultured bacterium. RNAcentral describes it as "bacterial SSU rRNA". It matches the Rfam family "Bacterial small subunit ribosomal RNA", at positions 355 to 746 of the family's 1533-position model. The record is from RNAcentral.
UGGGGAAUUUUGGACAAUGGGCGAAAGCCUGAUCCAGCCAUGCCGCGUGAGUGAAGAAGGCCUUCGGGUUGUAAAGCUCUUUUAGUCGGAAAGAAAGAGUCGCAAUGAAUAAUUGUGAUUUAUGACGGUACCGACAGAAAAAGCACCGGCUAACUACGUGCCAGCAGCCGCGGUAAUACGUAGGGUGCGAGCGUUAAUCGGAAUUACUGGGCGUAAAGGGUGCGCAGGCGGUUUUGCAAGUCAGAUGUGAAAGCCCCGGGCUUAACCUGGGAAUUGCGUUUGAAACUACAAGGCUAGAGUGCAGCAGAGGGGAGUGGAAUUCCAUGUGUAGCAGUGAAAUGCGUAGAGAUGUGGAAGAACACCGAUGGCGAAGGCGAGCUCCCUGGGUUUGACACGUGACGC